UGCAGUCGAGCGGCAAGUUGAGUAGCAAUACUUGACCUAGAGCGGCGCACGGGUGCGUUACGCGUAUGCAACCUACCUUAUACUGGGGGAUAGCCCGUAGAAAUGCGGAUUAAUACCCCAUGGUAUUGAGUGAUGGCAUCGUCAUUCAAUUAAAGAUUUAUCGGUAUGAGAUGGGCAUGCGUAGGAUUAGCUAGUUGGUAAGGUAACGGCUUACCAAGGCUACGAUCCUUAGGGGUUCUGAGAGGAAGGUCCCCCACACUGGCACUGAGAUACGGGCCAGACUCCUACGGGAGGCAGCAGUAGGGAAUAUUGGGCAAUGGUCGGAAGACUGACCCAGCCAUGCCGCGUGCAGGAAGACGGCCCUCUGGGUUGUAAACUGCUUUUAUCAGGGAAGAAAAGGGCCAUGCGUGGCAAAUUGCCGGUACCUGAUGAAUAAGCACCGGCUAACUCCGUGCCAGCAGCCGCGGUAAUACGGAGGGUGCGAGCGUUGUCCGGAUUUAUUGGGUUUAAAGGGUGCGUAGGCGGCUGCUUAAGUCAGUGGUAAAAGGCACGGGCUCAACCCGAUGUAAGCCAUUGAUACUGGGCAGCUUGAGUUUUCUGAGAGUACAUGGAAUUGAUGGUGUAGCGGUGAA
This 632-nucleotide ribosomal RNA is filed under the name bacterium SL4.30. RNAcentral describes it as "bacterial SSU rRNA". It matches the Rfam family "Bacterial small subunit ribosomal RNA", at positions 56 to 685 of the family's 1533-position model. The record is from RNAcentral.